RNAcentral lists this ribosomal RNA (721 nucleotides) under uncultured eukaryote. RNAcentral's name for it is "SSU rRNA". It matches the Rfam family "Eukaryotic small subunit ribosomal RNA", at positions 83 to 835 of the family's 1831-position model. The record is from RNAcentral.
GAGACUGCGAAUGGCUCAUUAUAUCAGUUAUAGUUUAUUUGAUAGUCCCUCACUACUUGGAUAACCGUAGUAAUUCUAGAGCUAAUACAUGCGUCGAUACCCUUCUGGGGUAGUAUUUAUUAGAUGGAAACCAACCCCUUCGGGGUGAUGUGGUGAUUCAUAAUAAGUUUGCGGAUCGCCGGUGGCGAUGGAUCAUUCAAGUUUCUGCCCUAUCAGCUUUGGACGGUAAGGUAUUGGCUUACCGUGGCUCUAACGGGUAACGGGGAAUUAGGGUUCGAUUCCGGAGAGGGGGCCUGAGAGAUGGCCACCACAUCCAAGGAAGGCAGCAGGCGCGUAAAUUACCCAAUCUUGACACAAGGAGGUAGUGACAAUAAAUAACAAUGCCGGGCCUUUAUAGGUCUGGCAAUUGGAAUGAGAACAAUCUAAACCCCUUAUCGAGGAUCAAUUGGAGGGCAAGUCUGGUGCCAGCAGCCGCGGUAAUUCCAGCUCCAAUAGCGUAUAUUAAAGUAGUUGCAGUUAACAAGCUCGUAGUUGGAUAUGUGGCGGUUCCUGCGGUCCGAUCUCGGUACUUUCGGGGACUGCCAUCCUUGGGGUGGAUCCUGUGUAGCAUUAGGGUGUCGUGCAGGGGAUGUCCCAUCGUUACUGUGAAAACAUUAAAGUGUCCAAGCCAGGCUAUGCCCGUUGAUAUAUUANCAUGGAAUAAUGAGAUNGACCUUGGUAU